ACGCGGCGUGGGGGAUGAAGCAUUUCGGAGUGUAAACCCCUUUCGAUUGGGACGAAUGCCUCGCAAGAGGAGUGACGGUACCAGUAGAAGAAGCCCCGGCUAACUACGUGCCAGCAGCCGCGGUAAGACGUGGGGGGCCAGCGUUGUUCGGAAUUACUGGGUGUAAAGGGUUCGUAGGCGGUGCGGCAAGUUGGGAGUGAAAUCUCUGGGCUUAACCCAGAGGCUGCUUCCAAAACUGCUGUGCUUGAGUGUGGGAGAGGCGCGUGGAAUUGCAGGUGUAGCGGUGAAAUGCGUAGAUAUCUGCAGGAACACCCGUGGCGAAAGCGGCGCGCUGGACCACAACUGACGCUGAGGAACGAAAGCUAGGGGAGCAAACAGGAUUAGAUACCCUGGUAGUCCUAGCCCUAAACGAUCAGGACUUGGGGUGCCACCCGUUCGGGUGUCGUCCCGGAGCUAACGCGUUAAGUCCUGCACCUGGGGAGUACGGUCGCAAGACUGAAACUCAAAGGAAUUGACG
RNAcentral lists this ribosomal RNA (517 nucleotides) under uncultured Acidobacteriota bacterium. RNAcentral's name for it is "SSU rRNA". It matches the Rfam family "Bacterial small subunit ribosomal RNA", at positions 394 to 915 of the family's 1533-position model. Lineage: Bacteria; Pseudomonadati; Acidobacteriota. The record is from RNAcentral.